Molecule: ribosomal RNA, 253 nt
Filed under: uncultured bacterium
Lineage: Bacteria
Description: partial 16S ribosomal RNA
Rfam family: Bacterial small subunit ribosomal RNA
Source: RNAcentral
UACGUAGGGACCGAGCGUUGUCCGGAAUCAUUGGGCGUAAAGAGCGUGUAGGCGGCCACUUAAGUCCUGCGUGAAAUCUUGCGGCUCAACCGCAAGCGGUCGUGGGAAACUGGGUGGCUAGAGUGUGGCAGAGGGAGGUGGAAUUCCACGUGUAGCAGUGAAAUGCGUAGAGAUGUGGAGGAACACCGAUGGCGAAGGCAGCCUCCUGGGCCAGCACUGACGCUCAUGCACGAAAGCGUGGGGAGCAAACAGG